This 116-nucleotide ribosomal RNA is filed under the name Oreochromis niloticus (Nile tilapia). Lineage: Eukaryota; Metazoa; Chordata; Actinopteri; Cichliformes; Cichlidae. The record is from RNAcentral.
GGCUACGGCCAUACCACCCUGAACACGCCCGAUCUCGUCUGAUCUCGGAAGCUAAGCAGGGUCGGGCCUGGUCAGUACUGGAUGGAGACCGCCUGGAAUACCAGGUGCUGUAAGCU